GAAAUGCGAUACGUAGUGUGAAUUGCAGAAUUCCGUGAAUCAUCGAAUCUUUGAACGCAUAUUGCGCCCGCGGCCUCGGCCAAGGGCAUGUCUGCCUGAGCGUCAUUAUAACACCUCACACCCCUUUUAGGGGAGUGGAUCUGGCCGUCCGGGCACUUCGGAGCCUGGUUGGCUGAAAGGCAGAUGCAAAGCCAGCAGCCCAUUUCAACGGCAAGGCGUGGUAGACCGCAUCGCGGGCGAUCGUCGUGCCGGGGCUGAUUGCGGCUUUCGCAUAAGCAGGAACCGCCGCUUUGAACGGACUUCGGUCCCGAAGGAGCAGGCCUUGACCCAUUGACCUCAGAUCAGGCAAGAUUACCCGCCGAAUUUAA
Molecule: unclassified non-coding RNA, 368 nt
Filed under: uncultured fungus
Lineage: Eukaryota; Fungi
Description: sequence contains ITS1
Rfam family: 5.8S ribosomal RNA (bases 1-105)
Source: RNAcentral